GGAUAACUACCCUUAGGACCGGGAUAACCCUGGGAAACUGGGGAUAAUACUGGAUAGGCAAUUUUUCCUGUAAUGGUUUUUUGUUUAAAUGUUUUUUCGCCUAAGGAUGGGUCUGCGGCCGAUUAGGUAGUUGGUUAGGUAAUGGCUUACCAAGCCGUUGAUCGGUACGGGUUGUGAGAGCAAGAGCCCGGAGAUGGAACCUGAGACAAGGUUCCAGGCCCUACGGGGUGCAGCAGGCGCGAAACCUCCGCAAUGUGAGAAAUCGCGACGGGGGGAUCCCAAGUGCCAUUCUUAACGGGAUGGCUUUUCAUUAGUGUAAAGAGCUUUUGGAAUAAGGGCUGAGCAAGACCGGUGCCAGCCGCCGCGGUAACACCGGCAGCUCUAGUGGUAGCAGUUUUUAUUGGGCCUAAAGCGUCCGUAGCCGGUUUAAUAAGUCUCUGGUGAAAUCCUGUAGCUUAACUGUGGGAAUUGCUGGAGAUACUAUUAGACUUGAGACCGGGAGAGGUUAGAGGUACUCCCAGGGUAGAGGUGAAAUUCUGUAAUCCUGGGAGGACCGCCUGUUGCGAAGGCGUCUAACUGGAACGGUUCUGACGGUGAGGGACGAAAGUUAGGGGCGCGAACCGGAUUAGAUACCCGGGUAGUCCUAACUGUAAACGAUGCGGACUUGGUGUUGGGGUGGCUUUGAGCUGCUCCAGUGCCGAAGGGAAGCUGUUAAGUCCGCCGCCUGGGAAGUACGGUCGCAAGACUGAAACUUAA
RNAcentral lists this ribosomal RNA (756 nucleotides) under uncultured archaeon. Its description in RNAcentral is "bacterial SSU rRNA". It matches the Rfam family "Archaeal small subunit ribosomal RNA", at positions 102 to 859 of the family's 1478-position model. The record is from RNAcentral.